GGUUCGCCGCUCGUGACUCUGCGAGAAGUCCAUUGAACCUUAUCAUUUAGAGGAAGGAGAAGUCGUAACAAGGUUUCCGUAGGUGAACCUGCGGAAGGAUCAUUGUCGAGACCGAAACAUAUCGAGCGAUUUAGAGAACCUGUUAAUAAGCGGCGGCGCCCGCCGUCGCACAUUUGCCGCCUCCAUCGUCGGCCUCAUAAAGGGUGCGAUGAUGAGGCGGACGAAAACUCAAACCGGCGCAGAUACGCGCCAAGGGAAUAAAAUUAGACACGGUCCUGCUCAGGAUCGGUGGCGUGGAGUGCAGUUGCACCCCACACGAUAAAAUGACUCUCGGCAAUGGAUAUCUCGGCUCUCGCAUCGAUGAAGAGCGCAGCGAAAUGCGAUACGUGGUGCGAAUUGCAGAAUCCCGCGAACCAUCGAGAAUUUGAACGCAAGUUGCGCCCGAGGCCAUCCGGCUAAGGGCACGUCCGCCUGGGCGUCAAGCGUUACGUCGCUCCGUGCUAGCCACAUUCCGCCCAUGGGGUGUGUAUGCGGGAGGGCCGGAUGUGCAGAGUGGCUCGUCGUGGUCGCCGAGCGGGCACUACGGGCUUAAGAGCGGGUGAUCGUCUCGUUGGCCACGAACAACAAGAGGUGGAUGAAAAUUGUGCCUGUGUUGUAUCGUUUCGGCAUGAGAAGAGAUUAUACCUAGCGAAUGAUCCAUCCCAAGACAUCGGCUUGGAAUGCGACCCCAGGAUGGGCGAGGCCACCCGCUGAGUUUAAGCAUAUCAAUAAGCGGAGGAGAAGAAACUUACAAGGAU
RNAcentral lists this ribosomal RNA (797 nucleotides) under Platystele minimiflora. Its description in RNAcentral is "eukaryotic LSU rRNA". The stretch from base 326 to 481 matches the Rfam family "5.8S ribosomal RNA". The record is from RNAcentral. Lineage: Eukaryota; Viridiplantae; Streptophyta; Magnoliopsida; Asparagales; Orchidaceae.